CAUUGUUGAAGUCCAUACAGUAACAUGCAACUUCAUUUGGUCUCUGUAGGAUAGUUGUCUCGCAUCUCUUCAUUUCAUAACAAAUCAAUUUGUAGGUUCUAUAAAGUGGGCCGAUGACGAAGGUAAGGGAAAUUUUGACUGCCAACUGAGAGGACAUGUUGGGCAGAAAUUAAGCCUUGCAACAGGCCACCUACUGACCCCUCAAAGACUUGUGGCAAGGGUUCUUUAACGUGCAGAGUGGCACUGUCCCUACACAUAGGAACUAUACUUUUUAAAUUGCCAUUCCAAUUUUUGUUUGUUUUAAACAUGAUAACUUUAGAAGACUUUAAAGCGGGGGUCAUAAAAAAUAUUACAAUAAUCCCACCUUUUACACCACCCUCAAUGUUUAUUAUCUAGAACUCUGUUUACAAACAAUUUUGUUUUCAUAUAUUAUUUUUUGGUAUUUUCUUUUUUGAUAUUUUUUUGAUAUUUUUUUUUACAGAGCUCUAGAUAAUAAAAAUAUCAGAUGUUAAAGGUUAGAGGUAUUAAUAAAGUCAUUCUAAUUCAGAAUAUUGCAAAAUUUUAAUGUUAGUUGAUUUUCUCAUUGUUGAAGUCCAUACAGUAACAUGCAACUUCAUUUAGUCUCUGUAGGAUAGUUGUCUCACAUCUCUUCAUUUCAUAACAAAUCAAUUUGUAGGUUCUAUAAAGUGGGCCGAUGAUGAAGGUAAGGGAAAUUUUGACUGCCAACUGAGAGGAGGAUAUGUUUGGACAGAAAUUAAGCCUUGCAACAGGCCACCUACUGACCCCUCAAAGACUUGUGGCAAGGGUUCUUUAACGUGCAGAGUGGCACUGUCCCUACAUAGGAACUAUAUACUUUUUAAAUUGCCAUUCCAAUUUUUGAUUGUUUUAAAAAUUAUAACUUAAGAAGACUUUAAGGCGGGGGUCAUAAAAAAUAUUACAAUAAUCCCACUUUUACACCACCCUCAAUGUUUAUUAUCUAGAACUCUGUUUACAAACGAUUUUGUUUUCAUAUAUAUUUUUUUUUUUGGUAUUUUCUUUUUUUAUAUUUUUUUUUAUAUUUUUUUUUACAGAGCUCUAGAUAAUAAAAAUAUCAGAUGUUAAAGGUUAGAGGUAUUAAAAAAGUCAUUCUAAUUCAGAAUAUUGCAAAAUUUUAAUGUUAGUUGAUUUUCUCAUUGUUGAAGUCCAUACAGUAACAUGCAACUUCAUUUGGUCUCCGUAGGAUAGUUGUCUCGCAUCUCUUCAUUUCAUAACAAAUCAAUUUGUAGGUUCUAUAAAGUGGGCCUAUGAUGAAGGUAAGGGAAAUUUUGACUGCCAACUGAGAGGAGGAUAUGUUGGACAGAAAUUAAGCCUUGCAACAGACCACCUACUGACCCCUCAAAGACUUGUGGCAAGGGUUCUUUAACGUGCAGAGUGGCACUGUCCCUACACAUAGGAACUAUAUACUUUUUAAAUUGCCAUUCCAAUUUUUGUUUGUUUUAAAAAUGAUAACUUUAGAAGACUUUAAGGCGGGGGUCAUAAAAAAUAUUACAAUAAUCCCACCUUUUACACCACCCUCAAUGUUUAUUAUCUAGAACUCUGUUUACAAACAAUUUUGUUUUCAUAUUAUUUUUUGGUAUUUUCAUUUUUUAUAUUUUUUUUACAGAGCUCUAGAUAAUAAAAAUAUCGGAUGUUAAAGGUUAGAGGUAUUAACAAAGUCAUUCUAAUUCAGAAUAUUGCAAAAUUUUAAUGUUGGAUGAUUUUCUCAUUGUUGAAGUCCAUACAGUAACCUAUUUUACAUCAACAUCAUUUGGUCUCUGUAGGAUAGUAAUGUCUCGCAUCUCUUCAUUUCAUAACAAAUCAAUUUGUAGGUUCUAUAAAGUGGGCCGAUGAUGAAGGUAAGGGAAAUUUUGACUGCCAACUGAGAGGAGGAUAUGUUGGACAGAAAUUAAGCCUUGCAACAGGCCACCUACUGACCCCUCAAAGACUUGUGGCAAGGGUUCUUUAACGUGCAGAGUGGCACUGUCCCUACACAUAGGAACUAUACUUUUUAAAUUGCCAUUCCAAUUUUUGUUUGUUUUAAACAUGAUAACUUUAGAAGACUUUAAAGCGGGGGUCAUAAAAAAUAUUACAAUAAUCCCACCUUUUACACCACCCUCAAUGUUUAUUAUCUAGAACUCUGUUUACAAACAAUUUUGUUUUUAUAUAAUUUUUGGGUAUUUUCAUUUUAUAUAUUUUUUUUUUAUAUUUUUUUACAGAGCUCUAGAUAAUAAAAAUAUCGGAUAUUAAAGGUUAGAGGUAUUAUCAAAGUCAUUCUAAUUCAGAAUAUUGCAAAAUUUUAAUGUAAGUUGAUUUUCUCAUUGUUGAAGUCCAUACAGUAACCUAUUUUACAUCAACAUCAUUUGGUCUCUGUAGGAUAGUAAUGUCUCACAUCUCUUCAUUUCAUAACAAAUCAAUUUGUAGGUUCUAUAAAGUGGGCCUAUGAUGAAGGUAAGGGAAAUUUUGACUGCCAACUGAGAGGAGGAUAUGUUGGACAGAAAUUAAGCCUUGCAACAGGCCACCUACUGACCCCUCAAAGACUUG
This is a long non-coding RNA of Mytilus californianus (California mussel), 2559 nucleotides long. RefSeq lists it as uncharacterized. Lineage: Eukaryota; Metazoa; Mollusca; Bivalvia; Mytilida; Mytilidae. The record is from RefSeq and is a predicted model, not a curated record. The transcript is spliced from 6 exons.